AUUGAACGCUGGCGGCAUGCUUUACACAUGCAAGUCGAACGGUAACAGGCCGCAAGGUGCUGACGAGUGGCGUACGGGUGAGUAAUGCAUCGGAACGUGCCCAGUCGUGGGGGAUAACUACUCGAAAGAGUAGCUAAUACCGCAUACGAUCUAUGGAUGAAAGCGGGGGACCGUAAGGCCUCGCGCGAUUGGAGCGGCCGAUGUCAGAUUAGGUAGUUGGUGGGGUAAAGGCUCACCAAGCCAACGAUCUGUAGCUGGUCUGAGAGGACGACCAGCCACACUGGGACUGAGACACGGCCCAGACUCCUACGGGAGGCAGCAGUGGGGAAUUUUGGACAAUGGGCGCAAGCCUGAUCCAGCAAUGCCGCGUGCAGGAAGAAGGCCUUCGGGUUGUAAACUGCUUUUGUACGGAACGAAACGGCUCUGGUUAAUACCCGGGGCUAAUGACGGUACCGUAAGAAUAAGCACCGGCUAACUACGUG
This 482-nucleotide ribosomal RNA is filed under the name uncultured bacterium. RNAcentral describes it as "partial 16S ribosomal RNA". It matches the Rfam family "Bacterial small subunit ribosomal RNA", at positions 30 to 507 of the family's 1533-position model. The record is from RNAcentral.